AGGUGACUGUGGCCAUGGCUCUGACU
RNAcentral lists this non-coding RNA (26 nucleotides) under Homo sapiens (human). Lineage: Eukaryota; Metazoa; Chordata; Mammalia; Primates; Hominidae. The record is from RNAcentral.